This 216-nucleotide long non-coding RNA is filed under the name Lotus japonicus. RNAcentral's name for it is "long non-coding RNA (LJAP_LNC002240)". Lineage: Eukaryota; Viridiplantae; Streptophyta; Magnoliopsida; Fabales; Fabaceae. The record is from RNAcentral.
AAGACGGAAUAUAAGGAUAUGUAGAGUCUAGAGAAGUGGAAUUCCAGCGUAGAAUGCAAAUAGUGUAGACUUGACUUGAGUAUUAGAGAUGUUUUUCUCAAGCAAAGGAAGACCACAUAUUUGACGGAUCAAAUAAAUAUUAAAAUUGGAACAUUAAAAUAGAGAUAAUGUUUAUCCGUUAUCCUGGUCAACAAGGUUUAUCCUGUAUUAUCAGUC